GCAACCUGAGGAUUGUGCGGUUUAAUUGGAUUCAACGCCGGAAAACUCACCAUAGCCGACGGACAAAUGAAGGUCAGUGUAAUGAACUUACCGGAUUGUUCGAGAGGUAGUGCAUGGCCGCCGUCAGUUCGUACCGCAAGGCGUUCUGUUAAGUCAGAUAACGAACGAGACCCUCAUCUCUAUUUGCUAACUGAAUCUCCGGAUUCAGUGCACUAUAGAGAGACCGCUGGCGCUAAGUCAGAGGAAGGGGAGGGCAACGGUAGGUCAGUAUGCUCCGAAUGCUAUGGGCUACACGCGCAAUACAAAGGACGGGACAAUGGGCUGCUGCUCCGAAAGGAACGAUAGCUAUCCCGAAACCCGUUCGUAGUUCGGAUUGAGGGCUGUAACUCGCCCUCAUGAAGCUGGAUUAGGUAGUAAUCGCGUCUCAAAAAGGCGCGGUGAAUAUGCCCCUGCUCCUUGCACACACCGCCCGUCAAACCAUCUUAGUUGGGGGUGGGUGAGGCUGCGCUUUAUGGCGUAUUCGAGCCUGCCUUCGACAAGGAGGGUUAAGUCGUAACAAGGUAUCUGUAGGGGAACCUGCAGAUG
This 585-nucleotide ribosomal RNA is filed under the name marine metagenome. RNAcentral describes it as "bacterial SSU rRNA". It matches the Rfam family "Archaeal small subunit ribosomal RNA", at positions 881 to 1467 of the family's 1478-position model. The record is from RNAcentral.